UUGAAAGGGAAACGAUUGAAGUCAGUCGUACCUGCGGGUAAUCAGCCUUUUGGGCAUGAUUCUGUGGAGCGUGAGGAGUUAAACGCCUUCAUGCCUGCAUAUUCGUGUACUUUUGGGUGUACUUGCCUGUGUGGUUAGUUAACAUCAAUUUUGGUUAUCAUAAAAUGGUUGGAGGAAUGUAGCUUCGAUUUCGAUUGAAGUGUUAUAGACUUCGGCAGAUGUGAUGAUCGGGAUUGAGGAUUGCAACGGAUACCCUUCGGGGCUACCUGUCUGGUCUCUGAUCGUUGCUCUGGUGCCGAAAGCUUGCUUACGGUUAUCAAAGUCGAUGGUCAAUAGGUUAGAACGGGUUAAAUUCGUUAAGGAUGUUGACGUA
RNAcentral lists this ribosomal RNA (373 nucleotides) under Rhizophagus intraradices. RNAcentral describes it as "LSU rRNA". The record is from RNAcentral. Lineage: Eukaryota; Fungi; Glomeromycota; Glomeromycetes; Glomerales; Glomeraceae.